AGUGAACGCUGGCGGUAGGCCUAACACAUGCAAGUCGAACGGCAGCACAGUAAGAGCUUGCUCUUACGGGUGGCGGGUGGCGGACGGGAGAGGAAUACAUCGGAAUCUACUUUUUCGGGGGGGAUAAGGAAGGGAAGGCUAAGAUAAUACAGCAUAUGCCGUAGGGUGGAAGGGGGGGGAAAUUCGCGGCUGGCGGGGUUGAACGAGCGGCUGACGGGUUAGCUGGUUGGGGGGGUGAAGGCCAACGAAGGGGCGGAUCCGCGGCCGGUCUGAGAGGAUGGUCGCCCACACUGGAGCUGGGCCACGGUCCAGACUCCUACGGGAGGCAGCAGUCUGGAAUAUUAGACAAUGGGCGCAAGCCUGAUCCAGCCAUACCGCGUGUGUGAAGACGGCCUUCGGGUUGUAAAGCCCUUUUUUUGGGAAAGAAAAGCUGCAGGUUAAUACCCCGCUGUUCUGACGGUACCCAAUGAAUAAGCACCGGCUAACUACGUG
Molecule: ribosomal RNA, 492 nt
Filed under: uncultured bacterium
Lineage: Bacteria
Description: partial 16S ribosomal RNA
Rfam family: Bacterial small subunit ribosomal RNA
Source: RNAcentral